Molecule: long non-coding RNA, 2312 nt
Filed under: Malus domestica (apple)
Lineage: Eukaryota; Viridiplantae; Streptophyta; Magnoliopsida; Rosales; Rosaceae
Description: long non-coding RNA (MDOM_LNC006956)
Source: RNAcentral
CCGCGGGUAGGGGCGGGUAAUACGGGUACGGGGCGGGUACGGGCCGGUUCUUAGUUUUGUAAAAAUAGAUCGGGGCGGGGCGGGGCGGGUAAUUGAAGUUUUAGGGGCGGGUCGGUUCCAAAAUUAUAGGAUCCGCGGGUACCCGAACCGGCCCGUUUGUGUUAGAUUGGACGGACGAGAUUUAAUAUCAUCUCUCCAUCCAAUCUCAACCGUCAGUUCAAGUUUUCAACUUUCAACCCUAGCCAACCUUCCCCGAGUCCUGAGUUCCAGAAGCAUCCUCAGCCUCCUCAGCAGCCUCAGACUCUCCCUCGACUCCCUCUCCCUGAGUCCCUCUCCCUAUCCCUCUCCCUCGAAUCCCUCUCCCUAUCCCUUCCCUCCCUCGACUCCGACUCACAGUGCUCACGACCUCACCACUCUCACAGCGCUGUCGCGAGUCGCGACCAACAUCAUCACCCCCCAUCACCACCUCCGCCGUCGCAACCACCAUCAUCACCCCAUCACCACCGUCGAUGCUACUACCAGUACCAAGGCAAGUACCAACCAUCAUCCCUCUAAAAUUUAUGGAAUUUUGAAUUAGGUUUUACUAUUAAUGUGAAUUUCUGGUGUAGGGAUUUUUAGGGGUUUUAAGUUAGAAUUUGUAGAAUUUAUAGAUCGAUGAUUGAGUUAUAAAAAAUAUUCCUCUUUUGAUUUUUUUCAGAAAGAGAGGAAUUGCCCGCCUGCGGGAACCUCUGCUUCUUCUGUCCUUCAACAUUUAGUCUUUAAAUUUAGGUUUAUGUUCAAUCUAAUCGUGCAAGUGUAAUUACUGUUAAGCUUCAUUUCUGCUGUUACUAUUGCAGCCGUGAGUCCGUGACUGCUUUUAAUAAGUUAUUUUGUAGGUCCUAGUUGAGACUUUGAAUAGUCUUGAUAUCAGACGGUUGCUCCGGUGCCCGUAGAUGGGAGACAAGCUGCUGCUGGUGUAUUGAAUCAAAUUCAAGAUGGUAAGGUUGUUGUUUCCAUGGCACCCCAAGCGUCUGCUAUGUGACAAAUAUAAAUAAUAAAAUUCAUAUAUAAUGUGUUUGUUCUUUUUUUUUCUAAUGGUUCUACAGUUAAAUAAGAAGAAAUAAGAAUUUAAUUGUAUGGGUUUGUGGUGGAUGCUUCUCUGGUUUUGAAAUUGGAAACCUUUAUUGUUGUUCUGAUAGUAUGACAAUUAACAUUGUUUCUUGUGUAUAUGAGGAAUUGUUUUAGUGCAAAGUAUUGGGUUUCUUUGGAUUUUAGUUGUUCUUGAAUCGAAAGUAGUGAAACACUGAAAAUUCUUGAUACAGAUAUUGUGAUUGAGCCUUUUGCGUGAACUAUAGCUGCUUUAGUCAUACAGAAACGUGACAAGAGCCUCGGUAAAGAUUGUAGCAGCGUUUUCUCCUGAUAUGUUAGCCGCUUUUGUUACCUGAAAAGUUGAUUAGUAUAUCGAUAUAACUGUCAUUCAGAACGUAGCGAGUUUUGGCAUCUAUUCAUAAUUAAUCUGCAGUUUUGGUGUAACUUCUGUGUUUGCUCUCUUUUCUAUAUUGCUCUUAAAUUGGUAGUAGAAGAAUACAAACACAUGAAUGUUGUCAUUGAGCUUUUUGCGCACCAUGCUGCUACUUUGGGUACAAAGAAUGGUGACAAGAACAAGGAUAAAGAUGGUGGAAAUUGUUAAAGUGAGUAGUCGUAGUUCGGGUUAUGAUGCAUAUAUGUGUAGACCAUGUGGCGGGAUCUGCAUCAAAAAUAUUUUUUGACCUCAAACGAGAUAUCGCUUGAUAGUUUGUUUAUAUUAACUUAAUGUAAGGUCUAGUCUACUUUAUAUUGUAAUAAAAUGCAGCAAUGUGUGCCAUGAUGUAUUAACUUAACACAAAUGAAGUAAUUGUUGAUUCUUCUUAUCCAGCCUGGUUAAAAUGAAGCAAUUUGUGCAGUUUUUUUCAAACUGCAAUCUGUGCAGUUUGAGAAACUGCAAUCUGUGCAGUUUUUUCAAACUGCAAUUUGUGGAAUCUGUGAAAUUUGUGGAAUUUGUGCAGUUUUUUCAAACUGCAAUAUGUGAAAUAUGUUCUGUGUAAAAACUGCAAUCUGUGCAGUUUUAUCAAACUGCAAUCUGUGUGCAGCAAACAUUUUUAAACAGGAAAAAAAAAAAAAAAAAAGACCCGUGUACCCGGACCGAACCGGCCCGUUUCAACCGGGCCGGGUAAGGUCCGGUUCCUAUUUUCAGAAUUGUAGUGCCCGGCCCGGCCCGUCCCGUCUCCUUUAAUUCCGGGUCCGGUCCGGUCCCUUCAAAAAUGGGCUCGGCCCGGCCCGUGCCCAGCCCUAGU